ACAUACGACCAUAGGGUGUGGAAAACAGGGCUUCCCGUCCGCUCAGCCGUACUUAAGCCACACGCCGAUGAGUUAGUAGUUGGGUGGGUGACCACCAGCGAAUCCUCACUGUUGUAUGUU
This 120-nucleotide ribosomal RNA is filed under the name Penicillium coprophilum. Lineage: Eukaryota; Fungi; Ascomycota; Eurotiomycetes; Eurotiales; Aspergillaceae. The record is from RNAcentral.